Molecule: ribosomal RNA, 372 nt
Filed under: Urotricha sp.
Lineage: Eukaryota; Ciliophora; Prostomatea; Prorodontida; Urotrichidae
Description: partial small subunit ribosomal RNA
Rfam family: Eukaryotic small subunit ribosomal RNA
Source: RNAcentral
AGCUCCAAUAGCGUAUAUUAAUGUUGUUGCAGUUAAAAAGCUCGUAGUUGAAUUUCUGGUUAAAAUCUUAGCUGGCUUUGGUCGUUAAUGUUUUAAUCAUCCGUUAGAGAACUAUAACCGUCCUUAACUGGUCAUUAUAGAGAUCUAACAUUUUACUUUGAAAAAAUUAGAGUGUUCAAGGCAGGCAAUCGUCAUGAAUACUAUAGCAUGGAAUAAUGGAAUAGGACUUUGGUUCAUUUUAUUGGUUAUUGAACCUUAGUAAUGAUUAACAGGGACAGUUGGGGGCAUUAGUAUUUAAUUGUCAGAGGUGAAAUUCUUGGAUUUAUUAAAGACUAACUUAUGCGAAAGCAUUUGCCAAGGAUGUUUUCAUUA